This 253-nucleotide ribosomal RNA is filed under the name uncultured bacterium. RNAcentral's name for it is "partial 16S ribosomal RNA". It matches the Rfam family "Bacterial small subunit ribosomal RNA", at positions 524 to 776 of the family's 1533-position model. The record is from RNAcentral.
UACGGAGGGUGCGAGCGUUGUUCGGAAUCACUGGGCGUAAAGCGCGUGUAGGCGGCCUCUUAAGUUUGAUGUGAAAGCCCGGGGCUCAACUCCGGAAGUGCAUCGGAUACUGGGAGGCUAGAGUACCGGAGAGGAGGGUGGAAUUCCUGGUGUAGCGGUGAAAUGCGUAGAUAUCAGGAGGAACACCUGUGGCGAAGGCGGCCCUCUGGACGGAUACUGACGCUGAGACGCGAAAGCGUGGGGAGCAAACAGG